This is a long non-coding RNA of Spea bombifrons (plains spadefoot toad), 206 nucleotides long. RefSeq lists it as uncharacterized. Lineage: Eukaryota; Metazoa; Chordata; Amphibia; Anura; Pelobatidae. The transcript is spliced from 2 exons. The record is from RefSeq and is a predicted model, not a curated record.
ACGGAACUUCAGGAAGGAACAUUGCAGUUUUGGGCUAGUGUUGGCAGUGUGGCAUGUCUGUGUUUCAGGAGCCAAAUGACUCCGGCGAAUCAGGCCUACCUGGUACGUCGGUCAUGGCACACCUCAGACCGAAUGGACCCUCUCUGGGUCUUUGGUUCUUCGUUCCACUAAUCCUAUUCGUUUGCCCCUCACACAAUUUAAAAGAA